This 389-nucleotide ribosomal RNA is filed under the name uncultured bacterium. RNAcentral describes it as "bacterial SSU rRNA". It matches the Rfam family "Bacterial small subunit ribosomal RNA", at positions 28 to 418 of the family's 1533-position model. The record is from RNAcentral.
GACGAACGCUGGCGGCGUGCUUAACACAUGCAAGUCGAACGAGGCUCCUUCUUCGGUUGGGGUUCUAGUGGCGAACGGGUGAGUAACACGUGGGCAACCUGCCCCUGGCUCUGGGAUAACUCCAAGAAAUUGGGGCUAAUACCGGAUAUGACCGCUGAUCGCAUGGUCUGGUGGUGGAAAGAUUUAUCGGCUGGGGAUGGGCCCGCGGCCUAUCAGCUAGUUGGCGAGGUAACGGCUCACCAAGGCUAAGACGGGUAGCUGGUCUGAGAGGAUGAUCAGCCACACUGGAACUGAGACACGGUCCAGACACCUACGGGUGCAGCAGUUUCGAAUCAUUCACAAUGGGCGAAAGCCUGAUGGUGCGACGCCGCGUGAGGGAUGAAGGUCUU